GACGAACGCUGGCGGCGUGCUUAACACAUGCCAGUCGAACGGAAAGGCCCUGCUUUUGUGGGGUGCUCGAGUGGCGAACGGGUGAGUAACACGUGAGUAACCUGCCCUUGACUUUGGGAUAACUUCAGGAAACUGGGGCUAAUACCGGAUAGGAGCUCCUGCUGCAUGGUGGGGGUUGGAAAGUUUCGGCGGUUGGGGAUGGACUCGCGGCUUAUCAGCUUGUUGGUGGGGUAGUGGCUUACCAAGGCUUUGACGGGUAGCCGGCCUGAGAGGGUGACCGGCCACAUUGGGACUGAGAUACGGCCCAGACUGCUACGGGAGGCAGCAGUGGGGAAUAUUGCACAAUGGGCGGAAGCCUGAUGCAGCAACGCCGCGUGCGGGAUGACGGCCUUCGGGUUGUAAACCGCUUUCGCCUGUGACGAAGCGUGAGUGACGGUAAUGGGUAAAGAAGCACCGGCUGACUACGUG
This 468-nucleotide ribosomal RNA is filed under the name uncultured bacterium. Its description in RNAcentral is "partial 16S ribosomal RNA". It matches the Rfam family "Bacterial small subunit ribosomal RNA", at positions 28 to 507 of the family's 1533-position model. The record is from RNAcentral.